Molecule: ribosomal RNA, 389 nt
Filed under: uncultured bacterium
Lineage: Bacteria
Description: bacterial SSU rRNA
Rfam family: Bacterial small subunit ribosomal RNA
Source: RNAcentral
GGCAGACGGGUGAGUAACACGUGGGAACGUGCCCUUUGGUUCGGAACAACUCCGGGAAACUGGAGCUAAUGCCGGAUACGCCCUUCGGGGGAAAGAUUUAUCGCCAAAGGAUCGGCCCGCGUCUGAUUAGCUAGUUGGUGGGGUAAUGGCCUACCAAGGCGACGAUCAGUAGCUGGUCUGAGAGGAUGAUCAGCCACACUGGGACUGAGACACGGCCAGACUCCUACGGGAGGCAGCAGUGGGGAAUAUUGGACAAUGGGCGCAAGCCUGAUCCAGCCAUGCCGCGUGAGUGAUGAAGGCCUUAGGGUUGUAAAAGCUCUUUCACCCACGAAGGAUAAUGACGGUAGUGGGAGAAGAAGCCCCGGCUAACUUCGUGCCAGCCGCCGCGG